GGUCGUUUAGUUUAUAAAAAAUGUAGAUUUUGUAAUUCUAUGAUGAUAAUAAUAUAUUGUUAAUGACCU
This 69-nucleotide transfer RNA is filed under the name Tetrabothrius erostris. Its description in RNAcentral is "tRNA-Thr". The record is from RNAcentral. Lineage: Eukaryota; Metazoa; Platyhelminthes; Cestoda; Tetrabothriidea; Tetrabothriidae.